Molecule: long non-coding RNA, 95 nt
Organism: Melitaea cinxia (Glanville fritillary)
Lineage: Eukaryota; Metazoa; Arthropoda; Insecta; Lepidoptera; Nymphalidae
Exons: 3
Source: RefSeq, a predicted model, not a curated record
UUUGUCGACAAAAGUUACGAACUUGUCCACAAGUUUAUAGUCGCUCAAAAAGCAAUAGAACGGGCUAUGUUUAAUGUUUCUUUAAAAGAUAGAAU